GGGCCCGCACAAGCGGUGGAGUAUGUGGUUUAAUUCGAUGCAACGCGAAGAACCUUACCAGGGCUUAAAUGUAAGUUGCAUUAGUUAGAGAUAGCUAUUUCUUCGGACUACUUACAAGGUGCUGCAUGGUUGUCGUCAGCUCGUGCCGUGAGGUGUCAGGUUAAGUCCUAUAACGAGCGCAACCCCUGUUGUUAGUUGCCAUCGAGUCAUGUCGGGAACUCUAACAAGACUGCCGGUGCAAACCGUGAGGAAGGUGGGGAUGACGUCAAAUCAUCACGGCCCUUACGUCCUGGGCUACACACGUGCUACAAUGGCCGGUACAGAGAGCAGCCACUACGCGAGUAGGCGCGAAUCUUCAAAGCCGGUCUCAGUUCGGAUCGGAGUCUGCAACUCGACUCCGUGAAGCUGGAAUCGCUAG
RNAcentral lists this ribosomal RNA (418 nucleotides) under uncultured bacterium. RNAcentral describes it as "bacterial SSU rRNA". It matches the Rfam family "Bacterial small subunit ribosomal RNA", at positions 917 to 1338 of the family's 1533-position model. The record is from RNAcentral.